CUGGAUCUUGUGCGGGCCGGGGGCGCCGCCAUUGAGGAUCGCGGAGUCCUUGGGUUCGAUCGCCACGAUCUGGAC
Molecule: transfer RNA, 75 nt
Filed under: Pseudarthrobacter oxydans
Lineage: Bacteria; Bacillati; Actinomycetota; Actinomycetes; Micrococcales; Micrococcaceae
Also listed under: 1 other name
Description: tRNA-Leu
Source: RNAcentral